RNAcentral lists this ribosomal RNA (466 nucleotides) under uncultured bacterium. Its description in RNAcentral is "partial 16S ribosomal RNA". It matches the Rfam family "Bacterial small subunit ribosomal RNA", at positions 28 to 523 of the family's 1533-position model. The record is from RNAcentral.
GAUGAACGCUGGCGGCGUGCCUAACACAUGCAAGUCGAGCGAACCCUUCGGGGUGAGCGGCGGACGGGUGAGUAACGCGUGGGUAACCUGCCCUGUACACACGGAUAACAUACCGAAAGGUAUGCUAAUACGAGAUAAUAUAUUUUAAUCGCAUGGUUAAGAUAUCAAAGCUCCGGCGGUACAGGAUGGACCCGCGUCUGAUUAGCUAGUUGGUGAGGUAAUGGCUCACCAAGGCGACGAUCAGUAGCCGACCUGAGAGGGUGAUCGGCCACACUGGAACUGAGACACGGUCCAGACUCCUACGGGAGGCAGCAGUGGGGAAUAUUGCACAAUGGGCGAAAGCCUGAUGCAGCAACGCCGCGUGAGCGAUGAAGGCCUUCGGGUCGUAAAGCUCUGUCCUCAAGGAAGAUAAUGACGGUACUUGAGGAGGAAGCCCCGGCUAACCACGUGCCAGCAGCCGCGGUAA